AUUGAACGCUGGCGGCAUGCUUUACACAUGCAAGUCGAACGGCAGCGCGGGCUUCGGCCUGGCGGCGAGUGGCGAACGGGUGAGUAAUGCAUCGGAACGUGCCCAGUAGUGGGGGAUAGCCCGGCGAAAGCCGGAUUAAUACCGCAUACGACCUGAGGGUGAAAGCGGGGGACCGAAAGGCCUCGCGCUAUUGGAUCGGCCGAUGUCGGAUUAGCUAGUUGGUGGGGUAAAGGCUUACCAAGGCGACGAUCCGUAGCUGGUCUGAGAGGACGACCAGCCACACUGGGACUGAGACACGGCCCAGAGUCCUACGGGAGGCAGCAGUGGGGAAUUUUGGACAAUGGGGGCAACCAUGAUCCAGCCAUGCCGCGUGCGGGAAGAAGGCCUUCGGGUUGUAAACCGCUUUUGUUCGGGAAGAAAUCCUCUGGGCUAAUACCCCGGGGGGAUGACGGUACCGGAAGAAUAAGCACCGGCUAACUACGUG
Molecule: ribosomal RNA, 484 nt
Filed under: uncultured bacterium
Lineage: Bacteria
Description: partial 16S ribosomal RNA
Rfam family: Bacterial small subunit ribosomal RNA
Source: RNAcentral